UUGUAUAAACUUAAUAAAGAGCUGCGCCAUGAGCGCAUGAUACGCCCGUCGUUCGCCAAUGAAGUAGUAAGGUAAUAAAUAACCCUUUGAAUCAUUUUUUUACUUCAGUUUAUUUGUAUUUGAAUACAUGGUUUAUUUUAUAAGUACAUGAGCAUGGAGCGCCGUCUCCUUGACAUUCAACAAAGUCCCAUAACUCUGGAACAACAAUUCAGAA
Dreissena polymorpha is the source of this 214-nucleotide long non-coding RNA. RefSeq lists it as uncharacterized. Lineage: Eukaryota; Metazoa; Mollusca; Bivalvia; Myida; Dreissenidae. The transcript is spliced from 2 exons. The record is from RefSeq and is a predicted model, not a curated record.